RNAcentral lists this small nuclear RNA (199 nucleotides) under Sphenodon punctatus (tuatara). RNAcentral describes it as "U2 spliceosomal RNA (ENSSPUG00000008639.1)". It matches the Rfam family "U2 spliceosomal RNA". From Rfam's summary of the family: U2 is a small nuclear RNA (snRNA) component of the spliceosome (involved in pre-mRNA splicing). Lineage: Eukaryota; Metazoa; Chordata; Lepidosauria; Sphenodontia; Sphenodontidae. The record is from Rfam by way of RNAcentral.
AAAUCUUCUUGGCCUUUUGGUCUGGGAAAGUGUUCUCUAAUAAGUUCAGUUCUUAUCAGUCUAAUAAUGGACAUAUCCUUGAUACGAGGACUUGCUAUUAAAUGGAUUUUUGGAAAAGGGAGUUUCCCCAGGAACCUGUUUGAUCCCCCUCCACUCAUUGGCCUGGUACAGAAACGCUUCCAUGACCAGUGGCUUGAAG